Molecule: long non-coding RNA, 250 nt
Filed under: Lathyrus oleraceus (garden pea)
Lineage: Eukaryota; Viridiplantae; Streptophyta; Magnoliopsida; Fabales; Fabaceae
Description: Pisum sativum (pea) long non-coding RNA (PSAT_LNC005674)
Source: RNAcentral
ACCGCUUCUUUUUAUGACUUAUUUAAUGGCAAUGUGUUACGCAUUGACUCAAGUGUAUCUUGGACGCGCACAUAUGAUCCAUGUGAUGUGCCAGCUCAAUUAAUGAGCUCCUGAUCCAACGCCUCACGUUUUCUCUAUUUUUAUUUUCUGAUUUUUAUUUUUCAUUUUAUUUCUUUUAUUCCAUUUCAUUUCAAAAAAUCAUAUCUUACUCAUUUUUGGUCCAAAAAAUAUGAGACCAAUUGCAUUAUUU